Molecule: transfer RNA, 66 nt
Filed under: Kingdonella pienbaensis
Lineage: Eukaryota; Metazoa; Arthropoda; Insecta; Orthoptera; Acrididae
Description: tRNA-Glu
Source: RNAcentral
AUUUAUAUAGUUUAAAUAAAACAUUACAUUUUCACUGUAAAGAUAAUAUUUUUAUAUUUAUAAAUA